This 468-nucleotide ribosomal RNA is filed under the name uncultured bacterium. Its description in RNAcentral is "partial 16S ribosomal RNA". It matches the Rfam family "Bacterial small subunit ribosomal RNA", at positions 28 to 507 of the family's 1533-position model. The record is from RNAcentral.
GACGAACGCUGGCGGCGUGCUUAACACAUGCAAGUCGAACGGACAUGCCCUUCUUUUGUGGGGUGCUCGAGUGGCUAACGGGUGAGUAACACGUGAUUAACCUGCCCUUGACUUUGGGAUAACUUCCUGAAACUGGAGCUAAUACCGGAUAGGAGCUCCUGCUUCAUGUUGGGUGUUGGAACGUUUCGUCGGUUGGUUAUAGACUCGCGGCUUAUCAGCUUGUUGGUGUGGUAGUGGCUUACCAAGGCUUUGACGGGUAGCCGGCCUGAGAGGGUGACCGGCCACACUACAACUGAAAUACGGCCCAGACUCCAACGCUAGGCAACAGUGGAGAAUAUUGUACAAUAGAAGGAAGCCUAAUCCAACAAAGCCGCGUGCGGUAAGACAUCCUUCCGGUUGUAAACCAAAUUUGCCUUUUACGAAGCGUUAAUGACGGUAAUGGAUAAAUAAGCACCGGCUAACUACGUG